AUUAUUCAUCUACACAAAACACACGUUACAAUUUACAACAUCUAAAAAACAAUUUUAAAAAUAAAAGUGCUUAUAUAAAAAAUACUUUAUAAUUCGUUUGAUUGUUGAAUCGAAAAUACACUUCACAAUCUUCACAUGCGUUUGUAUGAGCAUUAUUUGUCUACACGAAACACACGCUACAAGUUACAACUUACAAAAAAAAGUAAAAAAAAAAAUACAAUUGUAUAAAAAUACCUCAUAAUUCGGUUGAUCAUUGAAUUGAACAUACUCUUCCCAAGUCGUCAUUACCUAAAUAAUAGUAAAAUCCUUGUGUUUAUAACUUUUUUUGAUGAAAACUUCUACUUAUAGUAAGUAUUUUUAAUAUGUGAAAAUAAAUAAGCACACACUAUAAAAAAA
Molecule: long non-coding RNA, 396 nt
Filed under: Lactuca sativa (garden lettuce)
Lineage: Eukaryota; Viridiplantae; Streptophyta; Magnoliopsida; Asterales; Asteraceae
Description: long non-coding RNA (LSAT_LNC007716)
Source: RNAcentral